This 473-nucleotide ribosomal RNA is filed under the name Mogibacterium vescum. RNAcentral describes it as "bacterial SSU rRNA". It matches the Rfam family "Bacterial small subunit ribosomal RNA", at positions 28 to 499 of the family's 1533-position model. Lineage: Bacteria; Bacillati; Bacillota; Clostridia; Peptostreptococcales; Anaerovoracaceae. The record is from RNAcentral.
GAUGAACGCUGGCGGCGUGCCUAAUACAUGCAAGUCGAGCGAGAUGUUAGCGCAUGAACCUUCGGGGGAUUAUGCUAACGGAAAGCGGCGGACGGGUGAGUAACGCGUAGGCAACCUGCCCCUGACAGAGGGAUAGCCAUUGGAAACGAUGAUUAAAACCUCAUGACACCGUAGAAGCACAUGCUUCAUCGGUCAAAGAUUUAUCGGUCAGGGAUGGGCCUGCGUCUGAUUAACUAGUUGGUGAGGUAACGGCUCACCAAGGUGACGAUCAGUAGCCGACCUGAGAGGGUGAUCGGCCACAUUGGAACUGAGACACGGUCCAAACUUCUACGGAAGGCAGCAGUAGGGAAUCUUGCACAAUGGGCGAAAGCCUGAUGCAGCAACGCCGCGUGAAGGAUGAAGGCCUUCGGGUUGUAAACUUCUGUUCUAAGGGAAGAAACAAAUGACGGUACCUUAGGAGCAAGCCCCGGUAA